This 305-nucleotide ribosomal RNA is filed under the name uncultured bacterium. Its description in RNAcentral is "bacterial SSU rRNA". It matches the Rfam family "Bacterial small subunit ribosomal RNA", at positions 333 to 655 of the family's 1533-position model. The record is from RNAcentral.
AUGUGCCUACGGGGGGCAGCAGUGGGGAAUAUUGCACAAUGGGGGAAACCCUGAUGCAGCAACGCCGCGUGAGUGAUGACGGCCUUCGGGUUGUAAAGCUCUGUCUUCAGGGACGAUAAUGACGGUACCUGAGGAGGAAGCCACGGCUAACUACGUGCCAGCAGCCGCGGUAAUACGUAGGUGGCGAGCGUUGUCCGGAUUUACUGGGCGUAAAGGGAGCGUAGGCGGGCUUUUAAGUGAGAUGUGAAAUACUCGGGCCCAACUUGAGUGCUGCAUUUCAAACUGGUAGGCUAGAGUGCAGGAGG